AUACGGAGGAUGCAAGCGUUAUCCGGAUUUAUUGGGCGUAAAGGGUGCGUAGGCGGAGGUGUAAGUCAGGGGUGAAAUGCCGCAGCUCAACUGCGGAACUGCCUUUGAUACUGCUUUUCUGGAGUUCGGAUGAGGUGGGAGGAAUGGGCUGUGUAGCGGUGAAAUGCAUAGAUAUUGGGAAGAACACCGAUUGCGAAGGCAUCUCACGAAUCCGAGACUGACGCUGACGCACGAAAGCGUGGGGAUCAAGCAUGAUUAGAUUCCCUGGUAGUCCACGCAGUAAACGAUGAUAAGUAUCCGUCGGCGAUAGAAUGUCGGUGGCCAAGCGAAAGCGAUAAGUUAUCCGCCUGGGGAGUACGUUCGCAAGAAUGAAACUCAAAUGAAUGGACGGGG
RNAcentral lists this ribosomal RNA (393 nucleotides) under uncultured bacterium. RNAcentral describes it as "partial 16S ribosomal RNA". It matches the Rfam family "Bacterial small subunit ribosomal RNA", at positions 523 to 918 of the family's 1533-position model. The record is from RNAcentral.